GACGAACGCUGGCGGCGUGCUUAACACAUGCAAGUCGUACGGUAAGGCCCUUUCGGGGGUAUACGAGUGGCGAACGGGUGAGUAACACGUGAGUAACCUGCCCACAACUUUGGGAUAACGCUAGGAAACUGGUGCUAAUACUGGAUAUGUGCUCCUGCUGCAUGGUGGGGGUUGGAAAGCUCCGGCGGUUGUGGAUGGACUCGCGGCCUAUCAGCUUGUUGGUGGGGUAGUGGCCUACCAAGGCGGCGACGGGUAGCCGGCCUGAGAGGGUGACCGGCCACAUUGGGACUGAGAUACGGCCCAGACUCCUACGGGAGGCAGCAGUGGGGAAUAUUGCACAAUGGGCGCAAGCCUGAUGCAGCAACGCCGCGUGCGGGAUGACGGCCUUCGGGUUGUAAACCGCUUUCAGCAGGGACGAAGCUUUUUGUGACGGUACCUGCAGAAGAAGCACCGGCUAACUACGUG
RNAcentral lists this ribosomal RNA (465 nucleotides) under uncultured bacterium. RNAcentral's name for it is "partial 16S ribosomal RNA". It matches the Rfam family "Bacterial small subunit ribosomal RNA", at positions 28 to 507 of the family's 1533-position model. The record is from RNAcentral.